CCUACGGGAGGCAGCAGUGAGGAAUUUUGCGCAAUGGGGGCAACCCUGACGCAGCAACGCCGCGUGGGUGAAGAAGGCCUUUGGGUCGUAAAGCUCUGUCAACAAGGAAGAAAUUACAAUUAUUUAAUAGAUAAUUGUAUUGACGGUACUUGUGGAGGAAGCGCCGGCUAACUCCGUGCCAGCAGCCGCGGUAAU
RNAcentral lists this ribosomal RNA (195 nucleotides) under uncultured bacterium. RNAcentral describes it as "partial 16S ribosomal RNA". It matches the Rfam family "Bacterial small subunit ribosomal RNA", at positions 338 to 524 of the family's 1533-position model. The record is from RNAcentral.